AAACAGCUGGAGAUGGUAAUCAUUGACUUCCUGGCGCCGAAUUCUUAGCAAGGCAACGACAGAUAUACAUCUGGGCGUUUAUAUCAUUGUUUCUUUUUCAAUUGUCUAUAAGUAACACAUUUAUGAGCGCUAAUCUGGUGUUAACAUCUAGAUAUCCAUUUAAUUCUGAUCAAUCUUCUAACUGGGAGAUGAUGCUCACAAAUACUUGGUAGCCUUGGCACAUAUCGGAAAGUAGGCAAUACUCAUUCUUGGCAUGAUAUGUGGCCAUUAAACCGUAGCCAGCAGUUUGAACAUCAAAACCUUCAUCUUGCAACUCUCGAAUCAGUGGCAAACUGCCAGUGAUUGAAUAGGGUUUUACAUGCCCAACUACUUUUUCAGUAGCCUUACACAAUACAUGAAAGCCACAAGAAUCCAGAUCACAUGCAACUCCAGACAUCGCCUCAUCAAAGGUCAAAGUAAGGCUCCCUCUUAGGUUUUCUUCAGGUAGGAUAUACUUAGAAACUGGACCUCUUGUAUCUAGCUUCUCUAUGUUCUCAUUUAUGUCAUCCACAUAUUCUUGUAUCUUUUUUUUCACAUCUGUGACAUUGUAGAAGGGAGUUAACCUGACAUCUCCUGAAACUGUACACUCAGCAG
This 633-nucleotide unclassified non-coding RNA is filed under the name Hevea brasiliensis (rubber tree). Lineage: Eukaryota; Viridiplantae; Streptophyta; Magnoliopsida; Malpighiales; Euphorbiaceae. The record is from RNAcentral.